Mandrillus leucophaeus (drill) is the source of this 1218-nucleotide long non-coding RNA. RefSeq lists it as uncharacterized. The record is from RefSeq and is a predicted model, not a curated record. Lineage: Eukaryota; Metazoa; Chordata; Mammalia; Primates; Cercopithecidae. The transcript has 2 exons.
CUCGUGUAUCCUUACUCAUCAAGUGUGUCCAGCAGGCUGCACCUCGGGGCAUUUACACGUGCCUUUCCCUCUGCCUGGAAUGCUCUUCCCCCAGGUAGUCACGUGGCUCACUCCCGUCCUCAGUGGGGAAGGAGCUCAGAAUGCCCUUCCAUCUGAGUGGCCUUCCCUGCAUCCCACCCCCCAAAUCACCCUCCCCGGGACCACUGUUCUCCACAGCACCUCUCAGCUCCUUCAUGUCUGUCCACCUGCACCCCAUGGAGUUUGUCUUUGUUCCCUGCCAGGGGCUCUCCAAGAAUAUUCCUGGAAGAACUGAAUGUUGCCAGAUUAGCUGCUCCCAUGCCUGGAGUCCUCUGCUGCCUGACAGCCCACGAAUCCCUUCCCAUCAGCCAGCCUCAGCUGCCACCAGCCUCCUCCGCCAGCCCAUGCAGGCCACUCCUAGCCAGAGCGAGGGUCUUCUCUGCACUCUGCCUGGAAUCGCCUGCAUGACUUGCUCUUCCUUCUGUGGUGGUGUCUCCUAGAGAGCCUGUCGGGCACCUGGCUAAAGGGAGACAUUUCCCGGAAUAAGUCCUGAAUGUGGCUGUGGUGUUUUACGGCAUCUCCCAUCAGGGUGGGGUCUGUGUUACUCCUUGGGCUAGCUGUCUUUGAUGACUAGGAUGUGGUGGGGGUGGCAUGGUGCCCUGCCUGGGCUUGGCUCACUCUGCCUGCUGCUCUGUCCUUGAGCUAUCAGGACCCCGAGGCCACCAUGGGGAUAAGCCCACAAGAACCUGCCAGGGGAUGAGAGACCAUGUGGUUGGAGUCCCAGGUGACCUGGCCGUCCCCUCAGCCCAUAUCAGCCCCUGCAGAUUGUAGAUGCAUGAGGGGCCCAGCCACCAUUGCCACAUCCUGUCUUGGGCCAAAAGAACCGCCCUGCUGAGCCCAGCCCAGAUGCCAACCCACAGAGCCGUGAGCUAAAUGAAUGGCUCAGUGUUGUGAGCCACUGGGAUCUGGGGUAAUGACACAGCAAGAGCUACUGCUGCCCCAGCCUCAGGUAGCUCACACUGCCUUCUAUUGCUCUAAACUCAAUUCACGUUGAUUUGCUUACCUGCUCACUAUCUGUCUUCACCAUUAGAAUAUCAGAUUCAAGAGGACAUGAUCUUUGUCACCACUGAAUCUGAACAAUACUAGGGUCUAAACAAAUAAUAAGAGUUCACAUUUAUUAAGGAUUUACAAUACACCAAA